This 416-nucleotide ribosomal RNA is filed under the name uncultured bacterium. RNAcentral describes it as "bacterial SSU rRNA". It matches the Rfam family "Bacterial small subunit ribosomal RNA", at positions 29 to 445 of the family's 1533-position model. The record is from RNAcentral.
AUUGAACGCUGGCGGCGUGCCUAACACAUGCAAGUCGAGCGGUAACAGGUGUAGCAAUACAUGCUGACGAGCGGCGAACGGGUGAGUAAUGCUUCGGAAUCUACCCAAUGGUGGGGAAUAACCAGCCGAAAGGUUGGCUAAUACCGCAUACGUCCCACGGGAGAAAGCAGGGGAUCGCAAGACCUUGCGCCAAUGGAUGAGCCGAAGUCGGAUUAGCUAGUGGUAGGGUAACGGCCUACCAAGGCGACGAUCCGUAGCUGGUCUGAGAGGACGACCAGCCACACUGGGACUGAGACACGGCCCAGACUCCUACGGGAGGCAGCAGUGGGGAAUAUUGGACAAUGGGGGAAACCCUGAUCCAGCGACGCCGCGUGUGUGAAGAAGGCCUGCGGGUUGUAAAGCACUUUUAGUGGGGA